Molecule: long non-coding RNA, 17668 nt
Filed under: Jatropha curcas
Lineage: Eukaryota; Viridiplantae; Streptophyta; Magnoliopsida; Malpighiales; Euphorbiaceae
Description: long non-coding RNA (JCUR_LNC003112)
Source: RNAcentral
UUUGAGUUCGUAAUCAUAUAACUGUAUUCCUAUAAACGGACUAUUAACUCAACUUGAUUUCUAUUCAAUGGUUUCCAGAUUAUUCCCAACUUGAAGCAUUUAUCAUUAGAGAACAGGGACACCUCAACGAUUCCUCAAGGCCAGUUUCCAGCACACAAACUAGAAUUUCUUGAAUUGAAUUGUUUUCUUGAUGGUUCAACAGAUUCUGCAUUUGGUCUCAUUCAUAAAUUUCCAAAUAUUAAAAAGCUUACUCUGGCAGCUUCUUCCUUCAAAGUGCUAUUCCAACAUGGUAUUCUUGGUGAAGCUGAAGGGGCUCUCGCUCGGCUGCAAUUCUUAAAACGGGACAACCUUCCGCACAUGAGCCACAUUUGGAGUGAAGAUUGCCCACCUGACCAUGUUUUCCAAAAUCUUGAAGCUUUAGAAGUAUGGGUUUGCCGCAGUUUGAUUAUCUUGGCACCGUCAACCGCAUCUUUCCAAAACCUUUCUACUCUUGAUGUUUCGGACUGUGAUCGACUAGUUAACCUAGUAGCAUCCUCUACUGCAAACAGUAUGGUGAACCUCACGAAAUUGACUGUAAGAGAUAGCAAUAUGCUGAAAGAAAUUGUAGCCAACGAGGGAAAUGAAUCCCAAUCCCAUUCCCAACCUCAGAUUAUUCUCAGUAAAUUGGAAACUCUAGAGCUCUGUGGCUUAAAAAACCUGACUAGCUUCUGCUCAAUCGCAAGUUGCACCAUCAAAUUCCCAUCUUUGAAUGAUGUAGUUGUGGCACAGUGCCCCAACAUGAAGAUUUUNNNNNNNNNNNNNNNNNNNNNNNNNNNNNNNNNNNNNNNNNNNNNNNNNNNNNNNNNNNNNNNNNNNNNNNNNNNNNNNNNNNNNNNNNNNNNNNNNNNNNNNNNNNNNNNNNNNUGUUGAAUGUUGACUUAGUAGCUAUGGUGAAGGCCGUUGGAAGAUUAGAUAAUUAUUUGUUAUUCUGUUGCUAUUUUUAAGGAAUAAUUUAAUAUGCUUAUCAUAUCAGAUAUGCAUAAUAAGUUUGCUUAUUUUUCUGAAGUUUUCUGUUUUUAGAGUCUAUAAAUACUUCUGUAAUAGUGUUUCAAUAUAAUAAAAAAAAAGCCUUCACAUGUUUAUAAAUUUUGUUGUUUAAGAUCCUUUUUGAAUUACUCUUAGUUUCUGAGACACAUAUCUAACAUAUCUCUUAUCAUCAUCAAUGAUUAAAAGUAUUGUGCAUCUCCAAAGAAUUGAGAUAUGUGAUUGUAAAAAGAUGGAGCAAGUAAUAGUCGGGGACGGUUCAGAAGAAGAAACGAGGAUGCUACUACGUGAACUAGGGUUCCUGAAACUUGGAGGUCUUCCGAAACUCACACGAUUCUGCACAUGUGAUUUGAUUGAAUGUCCUGCAUUAAAUGAGCUGCAAAUUAUAAAUUGCCCUGUACUGAUGACAUUUGUCUCCAGUUCUGCAAGUGCAGUCAUGGCAGCAAGCAGUGAACGGGAAAUAUUGGACUAUACACUCUUUAAUGAAAAGGUGAUCUCUUUUUCUAAUUAUCUAAAAAGAUUGUCUUCAUUCCUGUUAUAUGGUUCGGUUAAUUUGUUUAUUUAGCUGGUGUACUUUCGUGUUCUAUUUUCAUCAUAUUAGUAAUGGAGUAUGAUUUUGUGAUGCAGGUUGCAUUCCCCAACUUGGUGCAAGUGCAAAUUUCCAAUGCAGAUGCUUUGAGAAAGAUCUGGCACAACCAACUCCACUCAGAUUCUUUCUACAAAUUACGGGUAAUGAAGGUGGAAUAUGGCAAUCAACUAGUGCAAAUUUUUCCAUCUAACAUAUUCAAGAGACUCGAGAAUCUCAACGAUGUGGUCAUAGGGAAUUGUGAUUCACUAGAAGUGGUCUUCGAUCUCCAAGAGCUGGUUAUAAAUAUAACAGAAUCAAUAACGAGUGAAUUGAGAGAUUUGGAUAUUCGAAACCUCCAAAAUUUGAAGUAUGUGUGGAAUAAGGAUCCCCAACAAGCUCUCUCCUUUCCUAACUUGAGUUCAGUUUAUGUUUGGGACUGUCCAAGCCUGAAAAACCUGUUUCCAACUUCCAUUGCUAAAAAUCUUCUCAAACUUAAAACAAACUUGACUUAAGUAAUUGUGGCUUGAAAGAACUUGUUACAAAGGAGGAAGAAGUGGAAACAAAUCCUAAGUUUGCAUUUCCUCAACUCAAGUCCUUGGACUUGUGGAGAUUAAAUGAGCUAAAUUGUUUCUAUCCUGGAUCUCACACACUAGAAUGUCCAGUUCUAGAAAAGUUGGCUGUCUUUCAUUGUGACAAAUUGGAGACUUUAACCUUUGAACCAGUUGACAGCAACUUGCAAGAAACACAAAUGGAGAACGCGCUUUUCUCAUUUAGAGAGGUACCUGUGGUCCUCAAUCCCUAUAUUAAAGAAAAUCUAAGCACGACGAGUUUUUUUCUUAACAUGUCUUCAAACUAUUUCAAUUUGUCUUUUUUUCCAGAUCAUCAACAACUUGGAGCAUUUAUCGCUAACAAGAAAGGAUGCAACAACGAUAUUGGAAGGCCAGUUUCCAGAAGACCUCUUUCACAUGCUGAAAUUCAUACAGAUAAAUUGCUAUCACGAUGAAUCUGCAGUUUUUCCAUUUGAUCUCCUUGAAAGAUUCCACAGCAUGGAAAAACUUGCUGUAGGGUGCAGUCAAUUCAAAGAGCUGUUCCCACAUGAAGGACAUGUAGGUAAAGAAAAAUAUGUUAAGACUGUCGGGCAGAUACGGCACCUAGAGUUGUAUGCUCUUGCCAAUUUAGAGCAUAUUUGGAACCAAGACUCCCAGUUAGACAAAGUUCUUCAAUCUCUCGAAAUUCUAUCUGUUUGGCGGUGUGACAGUUUGAUUACUUUAGCACCAUCCUCAGCUUCUUUCCAGAAUCUGACAACUAUGGUUGUAAAAUCUUGCAAAGUAUUAGCAAGUUUGAUGACGUCCUCAACAGCAAAAAGUCUGGUUCAGCUUACAAGAUUGAGUAUAAGGGAAUGCGAUAUGCUGAUAGAAAUAGUUGCCAGCGAAGGAAAUGAUGGAUCAAGAGAGGAGAUCAUCUUCAACAAAUUAGAAACGCUGGAACUUCUUUAUUUACCCAGCCUCGUUAGCUUUUGUGCAGCAGGGCACAGCUUCAAGUUUCCCUCUUUGACACUAGGAAUUGUGGAGCAGUGCCCCAAGAUGCAGGUUUUCUCAAGUGGAGUCUUAAGCACGCCAAAGCUACAAACUUUAAGAGUGACAGGAGAACAAGGACAUGAAGGACGUUGGAAUGGCAAUCUUAACGCCACCAUACAACAGUUGUUUACAGAAAUGGUAUGUUUUCUGAAUUCAAUAUUCAUUUCCUUUAAUGAAUAGGUAGGUAAGUGCAUGCGUUAGUAGUUCAAGAAAUCACACAAUUCAUUAAAAGACCAAAAAAGGAAAACCAUUUCUUUAAAAAUUGGUAACUAGAGUCGUCCUCAAGCAUUAUCUGACUUUAUUGCCUCUGCUGCAUAUUUUGCAUGGUCGCCAGAAUGCAGAGGAAGAUCAAUCGCCAUCUAUCGAGUGCUGAAGGCGUAAAAAGUCGAUUUUCGUUGUGAUACGAGGCAGUAGAGGCAAAUGGUGUACUCUAUUGAUUUAUGAAAUGGUGGAGGAUCAUUUUAUUUCCAUGUUAUUGCUGCUGUGAAGCUCUCUCUAUAUUUGUAUUUCUUCAAGGAUUCUGAUAUUCAUCUUAAAUUUGUUUUGAAUAAAUUAUAUUUCUGACUUGAAACCAUCAAUGAAGUGCAGAGAUCUUAUUUAAAUUAAUAUACACGAGAUUCUCAAUGGCAAAACAUCCCUCUUAACUUAACACAUUCUUUUUACAAUACCAGAAAAAACAUUCAAGUUACCAUACGAUAUUAAGUUGGAGGCUGAAGGGGCUAAGGCCACCCAAGAAUUAAAAAAAAAAAAAAAAAUUCUUUUGAAAAUUAUAUUUUGCUCUCUACAAUUUGCAACAAAAUUUCAUUUGGCUCCUCAAAAUAAUUAAAAUAAUUGUCCUAGCUCUACCUCUGAUUGCAAACAGCUUUGCUAUGAUGAUACUAGCAUUGUUUCAAGGGUGUGAUGCUAUAAUUAUAAAUUUUAUAUCUCAUUGAAAAGAUAAUAUGAGAUAAUAAGAAAUAAGCUAGUUGUUCCCCUUUUUUUUUUUUUAAAGAAAAAAAGAUGUAAUGAGAGAUUUGAACGAAUCACCGGACUUUUCAUCAAUUCGAUGAGAUUUAUUAAAAAAUGUGAGGACUCAUGUAAAAUUUAAGCUCAAAUAUUUUUUAGCUGAAAGAAAUUCAUUUGAAAGUGAAAUUUUAAUAAUUUUUACUUUACAUUUUCACUGUCGUUUUCGGUUCAAAAUAUUAAUACUAAAGGAACGCCCAUAAUUACACAAAUAUAGUACAAAAUAUAGGUAAGAUCUUAGAAAAUUUUAAAAAAGUUAUAUUAUUUUCUUUGUGUGAACCUUUUAAAUGAUACAAGAGUGUAAGAGAAAGGCUUGUGAACCAAAAAUAUGCAUUUGGAGAAACGAAGACAUGUUAGAAACAUAUAUACUACACAUAGCAAGGAAGUGGUAAUAUCCCAUGAAGAAAAUGACUAGAGGAGAAAAAAAGUCUUUCCUUGAUUUUUGGAAGUAGAAAUUGCUUCACCAACUAAAUUCUAUAAUGACACAACCAUAUCAGAUAUAGCUUUAUUAUCAUAAACAUGUGCAAACAUUUAUUUUGUGGAUAUGCAUGCAACUAUAAAAUAACUCAAUCUUGAUUUAUUUAUCAUGUGAGUGGUUAGGAUUGAAUUAAAGGGAGCAUGCCUCCCUAACCACAUGAUAGGGACUUUUGUUUAUGAUAAGUGUAACUUAAGGGAGCAUUGUUUCAGAUAAGAUCAUACACCGGCUAAAUUUGAUAAUCACAAUUCAAAUACUCUCCGCCAAUUGAUAGCAACAUUUUUUUUAGAGAAAAUCAAAUUGAAAAUUUCACUAAAAUUUGGUAAAUUCAAAUCCAAACACUAGUCAUGUGUUCACAAUCCAUGGGCCUCAGUUUUCACAGCCCGUUUUAAGUAGACGAAAUUUGCUAUAGCUCAAGUGAGUUUUAAUUGCUUACUUGACCUCGGUUUUAAAAAAUGUUGCAAAGACUUGAAGUCAACAUUAUUAAAUUGUAAUUAAAAACUUAAAAUCAAAUUAAACACGAUUAAUUUAAAUGAAUUCAAAUUUAGUAAAUUCUUUCUUGACAUAUUAAUAUUAAUAUAUAUUUAAAAUUCAGCUCCUGAACUUUAAACCCCUAAAAUACUCGGAUUACUAUAUAUAAAAUAAUGAAUACAAUCCAAUUCUAUGCCUAGAUUUGAGUGGAUAUGAAGUUAUAAACAGAAACACGUCUAAGUCGUAGUUUCCAGUACAUAAGCAGUAAUCUGGAUGUGCAAAAAUGAAACCAUCUCCACAUUUUUUAACAACUCUGAUGCUGCAGGCAUUUCCUUCAACAACUCUGAUGCUGCAGGCAUUUCCUUCAACAACUCUGAUGCUGCAGGCAUUUCCUUCAACAACUCUGAUGCUGCAGGCAUUUCCUUCAACAACUCUGAUGCUGCAGGCAUUUCCUUCAACAACUCUGAUGCUGCAGGCAUUUCCUUCAACAACUCUGAUGCUGCAGGCAUUUCCUUCAAAUAUUAAACCUCCCCAUACUUGCCUGCAACUAUUUUGUUAGGCUGACAAUUACUGAUACAAUAUAUGGAAGAAGGUACAAUAAUAAAGCACCAAGCACUGAUGAUAGUGCAAGUAUUAGAAAACAAAUUGUCCUCUACUGAUUUUUAACUUGCGCGCUCUAAUGGGGAACUAAACAGAAAAGGUAAAUAGAUUUAAGAACAAGUUAGCGAUAGGACAUAGACGGCCCCGCAAAUGAGUACCGAGAUGAAACAGGCGGUGGUGCGAUUUCUGGUUUGGCUCCUUGGUAUGUCUUCCUAUAAUCUGGUAGUGGAUCAAUAGCAUACUUUAAGUGCAAUUUAUCCAUUUGAUCAGUCUCUCUCCUAUGUAGAGGAUCAGCUUCAGUUAAAUAAGUCUCUUUCAGACUAUCAGAAUAAUAGGAAGCUGAAGAAACUUCUUCGCGCCUUGGGGGCAGCACAUAUGAAUUCGCAGAAGCACCGUGUUGAUAAGAAUAAUAUGGAUCCCUUGUAUACGAGUCUAACGCAGUAAUCGCAGAACCAGAUGCUGCUGCAGAAACUGAAGGAGCUGCAGGUGGCAAUUCACUUCUACCACUAAGAUUAUAUGUCUGAAACUCUCUUUGAGCCAAGUACAGGGGAUCAGCAAGAAUGGAUGCUCUCUGCAUGGGAACAGUAUCACCAUAUAUAGUAGCUGGCUGUCUAAGAAGCUGCUCUCUUUCCAGAUCCUUCUGGUAUAGAUCUAGGGUAUUAGAAGGAGCACCACGUACAGGAGUCACGUUUCUUCGCUCUCUUUGAAGACCAUAAGUACGAUAAUCCUUUUCACUCAUGUAUAAAUCGCGAGAAGUUUCCUCUUUAUGUCUUAAUACCACCUCCUGGCGCCCAAUACCCUGAUCCCUUUCAUGAGGGACUACAGGAUAACUCCUACCAUCACCACUAACUCUGGCAAAUGUUUCCGGAUCUGAAAGACGUCGCAAAUCUCUCUGCCCCUCACAAGCUUCCCUAUCUCGCAUAGUUGCCUUUGCUGGGGAAUGGAUAGGCACUGUAGCUGACUGCACUGACUGAAAUAUGGCAGGUCGGAAAAGUUCACUGAGCUUCCUAACCUGAAAGGGAAAUUUCGUAAAAUCAUGAAUGGUAAACUGUGAAAAUAGAGAAUAACCAUAAAACUACCAGGUUAAACAAGUAAUUCUCACUUGUCGAACAGUAAGUUCUAUCUUGAACUUGUUCUUCUCAUCGUAGUUGUCCUUUAUAGCCCUCUUGAAGACACUCUCAGGGAGUGGAAAACAAUCCUUAUGGAUACUGAAACGUACCUGAACUUCAAAGAUAUCAGUCUACAGAUCUAACUAAAUUGGUGAAGAAAACAACAAUGUUUACCGAGAUAAGUUAGACUGGAUAUACUAAAACAUAACCUGAACUGGGAAGGACCCACCAAAAGCCUUGGGCUCCAGUCUCAUCCCACCAGAAGAUGAAGCUUUAUAAAUUCCAUACAUAAGUCUAAGAUCAAAAUCAUAGAGGAAAAGCUUUAGUCCAGGUUUCACACCCAGCACAAGGUCUUUUUUACUUCCUGUUACUCCCAUGACUUGAUAUCGGAAACAAUCUGGCUUGGUCUUUGCACUACACAUAAAGAUCAAACCACCGAGCUUCUCCUUUCUUUCAUCUCUUUGACUCUUUUCCUUCAAAUCAAGCUUUUCUUUGUUUCUUUGACUCCUCGAGUUCUUAUCUGUAUUGCCAGGCUUUCCUUCACUCCUUAAGUUACUCCCGUUCCUACUUGAACCAGCAAUCCUUUCUUGGCUCUUUUGAGUCUCCAGGUGCUUUGCAUUGUGCUCUUCAUGGGCACCUUUGUUUUGUCCCUCUUUCUCAGAAUUUGGGUUCUGAUCAUUCUUGUGCUCUUGCCUGUCACCUUCCUUUUUUCUCUUGGACAACAUUGUUAUUCUUCUUCUUUCUGUUUCUUCCCCAAGUUCGUGGAUUAUCUUUAGCUUUCUUGACCUUCAAUGAUUUUUUCUUAACUUCAGAUUUGGCCCUCAAUGAUUUGGGGGUUAUUUUUUUGGAUGAUUCUGGUUUAAUUGGUGUUUCACCAGGAUUCCCAGAUUCCUUAUUUUGCAUUGCACUUGAUGGUGAUUCGGUGGAGGUUUCCACAGGAUUCUUAGCUUCCUCAUUGUUUUUUUCAGGUGAUAUUGAUGUAGCUUGUGCUUCAGCAGAAUUGCCUGAAUCUUUAUUGGCAUUAUCUUGUUCCAUGUACCCUAUGAAAUUGUAUAGGGUAGAAAAAUACCCGAUACUUUUUGGCAUUUCUUUUAUUGUAAGUUACACGUGAUUUAUUAGCUCAAAAUUAAAAGUGGAAUUAUCUUUUUGGAAGAUGUAACUUUUUUUGUAUAAAGUAUCAAUCCUUUUGUACAGCUGAUAUUUAAUAGAUAAGCCAAACUUAAAGUUCUGUAUUUAUGUUAAGCUAGAUUUGACUUGAGCAGUUUCAGUGAUUUCGUCAUUUCACAUAUCCAGUUAUUCCUUUGCAAAUAUGUUUGAUAUUCACCACUAUAAGGUGCAUUUUUUGGCUUUCUGUUUUGUCAUUUUUAUGUAUCCACUUCUGUCCUUGUGCAGGCAUUGUCUUCUUUGUAUAUAUGGGACAAUUGCCCUUGCGUUGGUUCGUGCAGGAAGAUUGAAAGAAUUAAGGGUUGUAUAUAUUUUAACUGGUAAAAUUAACUUUAGUUAUCUUCUAGUUGAUGGCAGUUAUGCUUGUGAAUGUAGUGUCUAACUUUUCCUUAUUUGCAGUUUACUAUGGCAUUGAAAAUUCAUUUAGUAGUCCAGCUCCACAUGUUGUACAGGUAGACAUGAUGAAUUCUUACCAUUCUUCUCUGGCACUUUAUUGCACUUUUCUAUUUAUGUUUUCAUUAAUUGUUAUUUUCUGUUUGCAGUGGCUGUUGGGCUCAUAUAACACACAAAUACUUCUUAUGGUGUUUCUUGCCAUAGUUUCUCUCUUAUUAGCAGGAUUCUUUGGGUACCAUGCCAACCUGUGUCGAAUGAAUACCACGACUAAUGAGGUCUGGUCUAGUUUCUCUGUAAUUUGUUCAACUAGUUUUAUCUUUUCUCUUGGACAUAGGCAGAAUAAUUUACAAAAUGGGAGAAGCACGUACUAUCCCUGAUUCCAUUUCUUUUUUAUGGGUCAAAAAUGGAAUCAAAUGUGUUGUUGAACAAUGAAUAACUACCACAACUGCAGUGCUAUGCAUGUUUGCCUCUUCUGGUUAAUUUCAGGACAAAAACAUUGCAUCUUAAUUCUUAAAUAACUUCACGUAACUUUAAGAAGUUUAUGUAAAGUAGUUUCCUUCCCUCAGGCUUAUUUGUGGUGAGUUUAAUAAUCGGUUCUGCAAUGUCAGUAAGGAUCAAACUCUUUCCCAUAAGAGUUCUUGUGAUGGCUGUAUCGAUCUUUACAUGUGAUGUUAUUAAAGUAGUUGAUGUAAUUUGUUGUUUUUUUUUUCUUUUUUUAAUAAAAAUUAUUUCUGGUAGUUUAUGGUAGUUAAAGCCAUUUCUCUCCCUCACUCUAUUGGCAGAUUCAAAUUGUUGCCUUACUUCUUUCGGUAAACAAUUAAUCCCUGAAACUUACAUCUCUGUGUUCUUUGACUUUUUGGUUGGGAUUUACAGACCUUCAAGUGGCAAGAGUACCUUGUCUGGCAAAAGAAGGUAAAUGAAGCAAGGGUUAGUGCCGCGGCACUAAAAGCAAGCAUCAGUGAGAUGGGUGACAAAACAAAGAAUUCAGAGAGCAAACGCAGAGGCUUUUGCCGGAGAUCACCCCUCAAAGAUGCUGAGGUUUUAGUUAAGAGAAACGUGUAUGAUAAGGGAUUCUUUCACAAUCUUUGUGAGGUAAUCUUUCCGCUGUCAACAAUGUUAAAGUUAUAGUUACAGCUCCAUUGAAGUAAAAUUGAUGCAAGUGUUGUUGACAGUUUUUGGAGAAAUUUUGUUAAAGUCAUUUAGAUUUUGUUGUAUUUUGUUGAAGUCAAGAGGUAGGUGAACUACCUUGCUUUUAGGUAGGUUUGGUGAACAACCUUCCUUGACUUAUGGAAGGUUGGUGAACAAACUUUAGACUAGCUCUACUAUAAAUGUUUACAUUAUGCUUUAAUGAAAAAAUAAGAAGUGAAUAUUUGUUUCUUCACACUUACAAAAUCUGCAGCUUUUUUUUCAUUUUCUGCAGAAUUUUUCUUCUCUUCCUUAAUUUUCUGCUCUUCUAAACCAACAAACAAAACCAUCAUGUUUGAGGAAAAAAUCAAAGUCUCGCUGAGAUAGUUGUGAUCAAGCAUUAACUGGGUAGUUUCUAUAGCUUUUCCCUUGAUAGGAGCUUGAACCCAUACUGCAUGUUCAAUAUAUUAUAAUAGAACGUAAUGGAAUGUAAUUCAAUAUGAUAAAAAGAUAAUAAAAUAAUAAACUAUUCCAUUGCGCUCCAUUAUAUAUUACCAAACAUGCAUGUAGAGAACGCUGUGAAGCUUAUAUUUUAUUUGCUGAUGGAAUAGGCAAAAAUAUAAGCAGCAUAGCAAAAAUAUAAGCAGCAUAGCAUAUGGCCUUCACCUUGCAGAGUGAAGUUUGCGAGAGUUUAAUCAUAAUCCUGCAUUUUUACAUUUUAUUUUGGUGAUGAACAUAAUUAUUACUGAAAUAUGAAAGUGUAAGAUCAUAAUAGGUCUUUCCAAAACUUGAGAGGGUGUCACAAAUUGCACAAACUUUACCUUUUUCUUUUUUCUCUUUUUAUAAGUGGUUCUAGCUUCUCAUGUUAUGAUUUGUCUUGUCUUCCCGAAAACUUUUUUUAGGUUCACAACUUGCAAUGUGACCAUCUAUGUACUAUUCCAUAAUUUAAUUAUUUAAAACUAUAUUCAAUAAACUGUGAGCAGAAAAGUAAAAAAAAAAAAAGAAAAUUCCUUUUUAAAAAAGGACAAUUGUCUUUCAUGGAAUUUUUUUUGAGAAUAAAGCUCAAUUUGUUUACUCGACUUAGCAAACUAUAAGCUACUUAAAAAUUAAUUUUUUUAUAUAAUUUAUCUCUUGAACUUACACAAAAAGAAGAAAAAGCUUAUUUUUUUUAAAAAAAAUUAUUUUAAAUAUUUUUAAUUAAUAAAAAUAAUUUAAAAGUUUAGACUUAAAAAAGAAAAAAUAAUUUAAAAAAUUACAAUAUAAUUAAACAAAAUAAUUAAAUUGCUUUCAAAUUCUAAAGGUAAAUUAUUCGAAAAGAUUUUUGAACAAAUUAUACAUUGUUCCACGUUCAAAGGGCAAAUUGGAUCGGAAGUUAAAAGUUUUUAUAUAUAAUGGUUUGGUUCGAAUGGAUGGUUUUCAAAACCAUAUAACCGAACUAAAAGCUCAAGUUUUAAAUUUUACAAAAGCAAAUCAAAUCAUCAAUUAUCGAAAACCACAGUCAAUUUCAGCAGUGAGAUGAAUAGCACUAUCAUCUUCAAGGACAAAUCAAAUUUAUUCAAGUGGUAUAGAUUUGGAAACUUUCUUUAGCUUCCACUGUGCAUAAAUAAUGACUCAAAGCUUCUCUCAUAACUCCUUGAAUGCCAUUGUAAUAUAAAAUUAGUCCACAACGUAAACUCAUGCCAGUUUGUCCUGUGAAGCAACUUGGCCUCGCUGCAUUUAUUAGUGUCUUCAAUGUCAAAAUGAUCAUUUGCAUGUAGAACAUUCUAUAAUCAAUCAACAACUUUGUGUGUAAACAAGCAGAUUAGCCUCAAGUCAAACUGCUGAAAUCAUAAUUGUUAAUUUAACCAGUUCAUGCAUGAUGAUCAAGUAAAUCUGAAAAAGAGUGGUUGUGAUGUGAUCGUCACCACAACCUACUGUAGCAACAGCUUCGUUAUUUAAGUCUGGGGAAGCAGGCUGUUUUACUUCACUUCAAGCCUUCACCCGCUUCUUUCUCUUUCUCUUCUUUGAUCAGCCAUUCUAAGCUUUCGCCAAGUGAUCAUGUAACGAUCAUAUGUUUUCUGUGUCUGAAAUAGUAAUUUAUUAGUCUGUGAAUAGUAUUGCUGGUUCGAAAAUUGAUAUUAUUUUUAUCCGAAAAAAUUACUAUAUAUGUUUUAUAUUUUAUUUAAUAUUUUUGGAGCAUACAUGCAUAAUUUUUAUGGGUAAAAAAUAAGUAAUGAAUAUUUUUGAAAAAUUUAGAUAAUUAGUUAAUAGUGAAUUAUGGUGUUAUAUUAAUUAAGGAAAUUUGAAGAAUUUAUUUUUUUGAGUAAAUUUAAAAAUUUUGUGGAGAUAAAUAGUAUUUUUAAAAAAUUUAAUUGGAGAAUAUUUUUAGCCAUUAGAUUAUAUUACCAUAAACUAAAUCUUAACCACCAAAUUCUUGUCAAAGACUAAAAAGCCCUUUAGUAAAGUCAACUCAAAUAAUUGAGCUACCAUUUUCUCUUCUUCUUCUUCUCCUUUUGGGCGUUAACUCCUCCUCCUUCUUCUUCUCUUUGUUUUUCUUCGCUUCCUAGCUAAAUCCACCGAAUUUACUCCAUUUAACUUGCUUAAGUAAUAGAUCCUAGAGAUUAAAGCUUGAAAAUUGAUUUUUGGUGACUAAGUUCAAGAAAUUUGGAGAGUUACUACUUAAGCCAAGUAAGUGAUCACUUCCUUCCUGCAGAUUAAGGAUUUCAAAUUCCUUCUUUUGUUUGCUUUUAUAUUCCAUUCCUUCGUAUUUAGUCUGUUUUCUCCUUGUUGUUUUCCAUUUCUCAUUUUGAUUCCAAAACCACAAUCUUUUCUCCUCUCUGUUCUUUUUAUGUUAAUUGCUUAUUAUUAGUUGAUUUUCUUUCCAAUUCUCAAUCUUUUUCCUGUCCUGAAAGUUUGUUUUCUUAUUCCUAUUUUCCAAAAAAAAAAAAAAAAAAAAAAAAAAAACCAAUCCAAUUAAGGAGCAAAUGGAAACAGUUGUGGGAACUGGAGUAACAAAAGUUACAGAACCGUUGGUUGAUUCAGUAUUGCGUCAAAUUGGGUAUAUAUGGAACUACCAGGACAACCUCCAGAGCUUGAGAGCUCAAGUACAAAACCUGAAAGGUGAAAUGCAAGUUUUGAAGCAUGACAUGGAGAAUGCUAGACAAAAAGGAGAACAAAUUGAAGAUGUCGUGAAGAACUGGCUGAAAGAUGCGAAUGAGAAAAUUGAAGCUUCAGAGAAAAUUUUGGAAGAUAAUGACAGAGCAAAUCAUUUUUGCUUUAUGGGAUGCUGUCCUAAUAUGAAGACUCGCCACCAGCUCAGCAGAAAAGCAAAUAAAAAGACACAAGUUCUGGUUGAGGUUCGAAAAAAUCGCAAGUUUGACAAAAUCUCCUACCGCACUGCUCUCAAGGGGAUAGGCCCUCCUAAGGAUUAUGAAGCCUUUGAAUCCAGAAUGCUAAUUUUGAACCAAAUGCUGGAGGCUCUAAAAGAUGUUGAUGUUACUAUGAUUGGGGUGUAUGGAAUGGGAGGUGUGGGCAAGACAACACUAGCAAAAAAGCUUGCCAAACAAGUUGAGGAAGAUGGAAUUUUCAAGGUGGUGGUUAUAGCAACGGUAACCUCUAAUGUAGACUUGAAAAGAAUUCAACAAGAGAUCGCAGAGUGGUUAAGGUUCCCUCUUGAAGCGGAGGUCACCGCAGUGAGGGCAGCUUUGUUAUGCUCAAGACUGGAACAGGAGGAGAAAAUUCUUGUAAUUCUUGAUGAAGUUUGGGCACAAAUGAAACUAGAAGAUAUCGGAAUUCCUCUUGGCACCGAACAUAAAGGAUGCAAGAUACUGAUGACAUCCAGAAAUCUAAAUGUAUUGCAUGAGAUGGGCACAGAGAGGAAUUUCAAGCUUCAAGUUUUAGAGGAUGAAGAGGCAAGGGAAUUAUUUGAGAAGAAGGUGGGAACUCUAAAACAUUCGCAGAUAAAACCUAUGACAGAUGAAGUUGCAAAGAGAUGUGCAGGUUUGAUAAAACCUAUGACAAAUGAAGUUGCGAAGAGAUGUGCAGGUUUGCCAAUUUCAAUUGUGGCAGGUGCACCAGCAUUGAAAAAUAAGGGGUUGGAAGAAUGGAAGGAUGCAUUGGAACGCCUGAAAAGGUCUGGUGAGGAUGAUAUGGAUAAGCAAGUUCAAUCUUGUUUUGAUUUAAGCUACAGAUAUUUGGAAAAUGAUGAAAUCAAAUUACUGUUGCGCUUAAGCGCUUUAUUUCUUAGCGGUAGAGUAGACCAAUUGCUGAAAUAUGUUUUGGGCUUGAGUUUAUUCGAGGGAUGCAGAAACUUAGAGGAAACAAGAAAUAGACUUCAUAAGUAUGUUAAUGACCUCAAAUCCUCAUGUUUGCUGCUAGAAGGUCAGAGGGAUGGAGAAGUCAAAAUGCACGACGUUGUUCGCAGUUUUGCUAUUUCAACUGCAUCUAGGGAUCAUCACGUCUUCACUGUAGCAUAUGACAAGGUAUUAGAAUGGCCACCUAAAUCUAAACUUGAACAGUGCACCGCAAUCUCUUUAUAUUUUACUGAAAUUCCUGAGCUUCCGACAACACUUGAAUGCCAGCAACUGCAAUCAUUUCUACUAGUUUAUCCUGGUUUGGGUCUCUCGUUAAGAAUCCCAGAUGACCUUUUUACUAUGACAACAGAACUGAAAGUUUUGGAUUUAACAGGCAUAAGUUUAUUGUCACUACCUUUGUCAAUUCAAAUUCUUGAGAAUCUUCAAACCUUGUGUUUGGAUUAUUGUAAGUUGGAAGAUAUAAGUAUAAUCAUAAAGCUAAAGAAGCUACAAGUUCUCAGCCUUAUGAACUCUGAUAUUGUUCGAUUGCCAAGGGAAUUGGAGCAGUUGACUCAUCUGCGACUUNNNNNNNNNNNNNNNNNNNNNNNNNNNNNNNNNNNNNNNNNNNNNNNNNNNNNNNNNNNNNNNNNNNNNNNNNNNNNNNNNNNNNNNNNNNNNNNNNGAAAAACAAGGUGGUGUAGGGAAAAAUGCUAGCCUCUCUGAAUUGAAGGCUCUAUCAAAUCUAGUAGCUCUAGACAUACACAUUCUUGAUGCAAACAUACUGCCUAGAGAUUUGUUCUCUGAAAAGCUGGAGAGAUUUAGAAUAUUCAUUGGGGAUGGGUGGAAUUGGUCCAAGGAUAUGUAUGCAACGUCAAAAGUGUUGAAACUCAAGCUUAACACAAGUGUUAACCUUGAGGAAAUAAAAGUCUUAUUGAAGACAACUGAACAUCUACAUUUGGAUGAGCUGAACGGUGUAAAAAAUAUCCUCCAUGAGUUAGACGAAAAAGGUUUUCCAUACUCGAAGAAACUCUACGUCCAAAAUAGUCUUGAUAUUGAACAUAUUAUAGACUGGAGGAGGAUGAACCAUUUCAUUGCUUUCCCCAAGUUGGAGUCAUUAUUUCUACAAAAUUUAAAGAAAUUGGAGAAGAUUUAUCACGGCCGUUAUGUGAUGGGGUCUUUCAGCAAUUUAAGAGAAUUAAAGGUCAGAAAUUGUAAUGUAUUGAAGAAUCUCUUUUCGUUCUCUAUGCUCAAGGGUCUUGUGGUGCUCGAAAAAAUAAAUGUAAGCCGUUGUGAAAUUUUGAAAGAGAUUGUUGCUAUGGAAACAAGAGAAGAUUCUGAAAUUAAGUUGCCACAGUUACGCAAAUUGAAAUUGGAGCAUUUACCUCAGCUUACAUGCUUUUGCUCCCAAGGGGAUGUGCCUUCCAUUUCCCAAAAGCCAGCAACAGCUUCUACGAGCUCUGGAGAGGUCAUAUUGGAGGAUGAAUCUGCAACUCUUUCGCUACUUUCCAGCAAAAAGGUACGCUCCAUAUCCUUUUUCUAGUCGGAUUUUUUUUUUUUUCCAAACAAAGUAUAUAUAUAUAAAGGGGUAAAUUAAAUUAUACGUAGAAGUAAUAUUAAUAACUAAAUACAAAUACGGUUUAUUUCUCAUGUAUUAAGUGGAAAUACUUGACAAUACAUUUCUCUGAACUUAAUAAUAAUUAAUUAAUAGUUAAUAAUGUUAAAUAUAUUAAUUUAAAUUUUAUAUUGCUACAUAUAUAAUUAAUAUAUAUCAUAUUUAUUAUACAAUAUCUAAAGUUUUUUUUUAAUUAGUAUUAUAUAUAUUAGGUUUAAAAACUGUUAUUGUUAAUAUUUCUUACUUAAUUGUUCAAAUAACAAUCCUUAAAUUAAAAGUUUUAGAUAAUAAUUUUCUAUUUAAUGUCCAUUUCCCUAUUAGUAUGUUUUGGAGUUGACAGUACUCAAAUUUAUUUUUCUUGAAACACAAAUUGUGUCUACAGAUUCAAUUCCCCAAUUUGGUAGAUCUGAAAUUAGCUUCAAUCAAUGUGGAGAAGAUAUGGCCCAGUGAACUUACAGAAUUAUCUCCAUGGAUUACAAACUUAACAAGCUUGAUUAUUGACACCUGCGAGAAUUUAAGCUAUUUAUUCACAUCUUCUAUAGUUGAAAGCCUCGCGAAACUGAUAAACAUUGAGAUAAGGGAUUGCAAAUCCAUGAAAGAAGUCAUAGUUACAAACCGAGAAGAAAUGAAGAGCAUAAUGCUAUUCCCUAAACUGGUCUCCAUGAAGCUCAAAGGCCUUCCGAGUCUCAGAAGAUUUUGCACUGCGAAGUUCAUAGAAUGUCCCUCCUUGAAAGUGCUGUGGAUAGAGAAUUGCCCGCAACUCCAAGCAUUUAUCUCUAGUUCCAGAAGGACAUAUGCGGGAACUAGUGGGCAAGCAAACUCAACUCUCUUUGAUGAAAAGGUUAUUUCUUUCUUAUCUGUUUACGUUCAUCUUUUAGUUUUCAGAAUUUGAUGUUAACUCCAUGAAAUUUUUACUUCAGAUUUUGUUUCCCAACUUGGAAAAUCUGCGUAUCACGAACAUGCACACAUUGAAGAUGAUAUGGAACGAUGAACUCUGGGAGGAUUCCUUUUGUAGAUUGAAAGUACUCGAAGUAAAGCAUGGAAAAGAACUAUUGAAAGUUUUUCCAUCUAAACAGUUGCUGAGAUUCAAGAACUUAGAAAUAUUGAUGGUUAAUGAUUGUAAUUUAGUGGAAGAGGUAUUUGAUCUCCAAGUAUUGAUGAAAAUACAAGAAGAAACAGAUGUUGUAGCAACCACUCAGACUCAAUUGAGAUUUUUGAAUAUAACAGGACUCCCAAACUUGAAGAAUGUAUGGAAUGGGGAUCCUAGUGGAAUUUUGUCCUUUCGUUACGUACAAAAUGUGUAUGCAUGGAAUUGUCCGAAUUUGAAAGAGCUAUUCCCAUUUUCAAUAGCUCAAAGUCUUCCACAACUUGAACUGCUGAAUAUAGAUGGUUGCGGGAUGGAGGAAAUUGUUGCCAAAGAGGAAAGAGCAGAAGCAACUCCUAAGUUUACAUUUAGUCGACUGAAGUCCUUAACCCUUUGGAGAUUAUAUAUGGAUUAAAGUGUUUUUACUCAGAAAACCACAUCUUAGAAUGUCCGCAGUUAGAAAAAUUGAGUGUCUAUCNNNNNNNNNNNNNNNNNNNNNNNNNNNNNNNNNNNNNNNNNNNNNNNNNNNNNNNNNNNNNNNNNNNNNNNGACUAUUAACUCAACUUGAUUUCUAUUCAAUGGUUUCCAGAUUAUUCCCAACUUGAAGCAUUUAUCAUUAGAGAACAAGGACACCUCAACGAUUCGUCAAGGCCAGUUUCCAGCACACAAACUAGAAUUUCUUGAAUUGAAUUGUUUUCUUGAUGGUUCAACAGAUUCUGCAUUUGGUCUUAUUAAUAAAUUUCCAAAUAUUAAAAAGCUUGCUCUGGCAACUUCUUCCUUCAAAGUGCUAUUCCAACAUGGUAUUCUUGGUGAAGCUGAAGGGGCUCUCGCUCGGCUGCAAUUCUUAAAACUGGAAACCCUUCCGCACAUGAGCCACAUUUGGAGUGAAGAUUGCCCACCUGACCAUGUUUUCCAAAAUCUUGAAGUUUUAGUAGUCGGGGGUUGCCCCAGUUUGAUUAUCUUGGCACCGUCAACCGCAUCUUUCCAAAACCUUUCUACUCUUGAUGUUUGGCACUGUGAUCAACUAGUCAACCUAGUAGCAUCCUCUACUGCAAACAGUAUGGUGAACCUCACGAAAUUGACUGUAAGAGAUAGCAAUAUGCUGAAAGAAAUUGUAGCCAACGAGGGAAAUGAAUCCCAAUCCCAUUCCCAACCUCAGAUUAUUCUCAGUAAAUUGGUAACUCUAGAGCUCNN